GAGCAACAAGCAGAAGAAGUCUGUGCUGUGAAGAACUGCCUCCAAGAAAUAUCACCGAGAAGAUAAUGUAAAAACCUUAACACCUCUCAUUCCUCAUGUGUCCUGGACUUCAUUCACUAAAUGCUUCAGGUUAAAAGCCAUUGUCCAACAACACCAGUGAAAAUCCUUCAUUUGUCUGGCCUUUCCUACAGAGUUGUAUACUGCUUGUUUUGUCUCUUUCUUAAGUUCUUCAGAAGCUCUUGAUUUUUAGCCAGUCUCAAACAGUAAUAUUUGUUGGCCACUCUCUCACCUACAAGUUCUAAAAAAUGUAAGUCCCUCAAAACUUCCAUCUUCUGCUGGACCAUCUUUCUGCAAUGAUGCUGCAUUCCUAACUUCUGAUCAAGAAGGUGAACAAAAAUAAAAUUACUGAAAUUCAGCUCAGAAAUAUGUUGGUAUAAGGGCAAAAAAUGUUGUUAUC
Molecule: long non-coding RNA, 457 nt
Organism: Zonotrichia leucophrys gambelii
Lineage: Eukaryota; Metazoa; Chordata; Aves; Passeriformes; Passerellidae
Exons: 3
Source: RefSeq, a predicted model, not a curated record